This 22-nucleotide microRNA is filed under the name Solanum tuberosum (potato). RNAcentral's name for it is "stu-miR482b-3p". Its record names the gene stu-miR482b-3p. The record is from miRBase by way of RNAcentral. Lineage: Eukaryota; Viridiplantae; Streptophyta; Magnoliopsida; Solanales; Solanaceae.
UUACCGAUUCCCCCCAUUCCAA